GACGAACGCUGGCGGCGUGCUUAACACAUGCAAGCCGAACGGUAAGGCCCUUCGGGGUACACGAGUGGCGAACGGGUGAGUAACACGUGGGUGAUCUGCCCUGCACUUCGGGAUAAGCCUGGGAAACUGGGUCUAAUACCGGAUAGGACCCUGGGAUGCAUGUCCUGGGGUGGAAAGCUUUUGCGGUGUGGGAUGGGCCCGCGGCCUAUCAGCUUGUUGGUGGGGUGAUGGCCUACCAAGGCGACGACGGGUAGCCGGCCUGAGAGGGUGACCGGCCACACUGGGACUGAGAUACGGCCCAGACUCCUACGGGAGGCAGCAGUGGGGAAUAUUGCACAAUGGGCGCAAGCCUGAUGCAGCGACGCCGCGUGAGGGAUGACGGCCUUCGGGUUGUAAACCUCUUUCAGCACCGACGAAGCGCAAGUGACGGUAGGUGUAGAAGAAGGACCGGCCAACUACGUGCCAGCAGCCGCAGUAA
RNAcentral lists this ribosomal RNA (478 nucleotides) under uncultured bacterium. RNAcentral describes it as "partial 16S ribosomal RNA". It matches the Rfam family "Bacterial small subunit ribosomal RNA", at positions 28 to 523 of the family's 1533-position model. The record is from RNAcentral.